AUGCUAGAAUCCCGAGGAGACUAUGGCCGGUGGUGGAGAUUAUUUUGUAUGCUGACGGUGGCGGCUACACGGCGGAGGCCUGCACACUCGACUUCGACAUUGCCAUCUUCAACAAGAAGGUCUCCUUCGCCGGCCAAGAUCAGUAUAUGGUGGCGGGCGGGCGGAACCUUUUCCCACUGCUCCCGGAGGCGUCAAGGGCGUCAAGCCCUCCGCCGUGAUCGGAUGGGGCUCCCAGGUUCAUUUCCAGCUUUGCUUUGCUUCCUCACUGUGCAGUUUCUCUCCUAUCUGUCCAGAUUUGCUAUGCCUCUCUCUACUGUUAUUCUACUGAAUAUUGUUCUUGGAGCAUCAAAGCAAAUUGCUUGA
RNAcentral lists this ribosomal RNA (363 nucleotides) under Triticum aestivum (bread wheat). Its description in RNAcentral is "partial small subunit ribosomal RNA". The record is from RNAcentral. Lineage: Eukaryota; Viridiplantae; Streptophyta; Magnoliopsida; Poales; Poaceae.